RNAcentral lists this long non-coding RNA (1216 nucleotides) under Diabrotica virgifera virgifera (western corn rootworm). RNAcentral's name for it is "uncharacterized LOC126880233". Lineage: Eukaryota; Metazoa; Arthropoda; Insecta; Coleoptera; Chrysomelidae. The record is from RNAcentral.
GUCCACUUUACAUCAACAAUAAAUUGGACAAGAAAUUGACCAAGUUAUUCAAGGCCAAAUUUGACGUGUAAAAGCACACUUUGACAUCUAAGUUUGUUCGUUAUAAACUUCACGUGAAGAAAUUGACGAAAAAGAAAAUUGUUCUAUUUUUUCAUUUUAUUUGGCGUGAAUUCAGUGUCACCAACCUGUGUCCAUUUGGCGGGAAGUGGAAGUAGAGCUUUUUGUUUAUUAUUAUUUGUUGAGGUUGAGUCUUUCAUGUUCAUGACAACCUAAAAAUUUUGAUUGGAAAAUGCAUAUAAGAUAAGGGGGUGGAAAAAUGGAAAUUAGUGGCUUUUUUUGCAGUUCUGUCUGUUAGUUUUGCGUUUUGCUCUGGCUGGGUCUCUUUUGUUUAAACAAUUAUAAUCAGCUGAAAGUGGUCUACAAAAAAACCAGGAAGGAAACGUAUUAUAGCCUUGUUGUGGCUAUGAAAGGCAAAAGAAAGAUACCUAUAAAAAGUGUAUUGACUAGUUGGAAGAAACUCCACAUUGUCGAUGCAUAAUAAGAUAUUACUUUAUAAACAAAUAUCAAGACCUAGGAAUGGAACCUGGAUAAUAUAGUCAUCAAGAAUAAUUGGAUAGCAGGAAGUCAUAAGCAACAACAACUUCAUAAGUAUGAGAAUAUUGAGGAAAUCCAGCUCCUCAUAUCUACUACUGGACAAACUAGAAGAUUGAAGAGGACAAAGCCUUUUGAACUUGUUUGAGUGAUAGGUGAUAGUGAAAAGCAGAGCGUAGUGCUUGUGUGCCUGUGUAUGUUAGAAUAGUGCACGAUCUUGUUAGAUUAGAUAAGAGACGCUAUGGGGUAAGCUCUUCAUUUUAAGGAACAGUAGUAAUUUAGGUUAAAUUAAAAUUGCUCAUUGGUCAGUUAUGACCAGAUUGUAAUUCUCUGAUGUUUGGCAAAAAGGGCUUAAGUCAGAAUUGCACAUCAAUAAUGUUUUGAUGAUUUCUGGACCAUAAAAAAAGUGUUGCAGACUUAAACUGUAUGUACCAAUAAAAAGAGCCGAUUUUUCUGGUCCAGAAAUCAUCAAAACAUUAUCGAUGUGCAAUUCUGACUUAAGCCCUUUUUCCCAAACAUCAGAGAAUUGCAAUGUACAAUUCAAUACAAAUGAAUCAUCAUCGUAGUGAUGAUUAUGGAAAAAAAUAUAUGACAAGAUUUUGUGCAAUAAAAAUGUUUAUAUUUA